RNAcentral lists this ribosomal RNA (253 nucleotides) under uncultured bacterium. RNAcentral describes it as "partial 16S ribosomal RNA". It matches the Rfam family "Bacterial small subunit ribosomal RNA", at positions 524 to 776 of the family's 1533-position model. The record is from RNAcentral.
UACGGAGGGAGCUAGCGUUGUUCGGAAUUACUGGGCGUAAAGCGCACGUAGGCGGCUAUUCAAGUCGGGGGUGAAAGCCCGGGGCUCAACCCCGGAAUUGCCCUCGAAACUAGAUGGCUAGAAUCUUGGAGAGGCGAGUGGAAUUCCGAGUGUAGAGGUGAAAUUCGUAGAUAUUCGGAAGAACACCAGUGGCGAAGGCGACUCGCUGGACAAGUAUUGACGCUGAGGUGCGAAAGCGUGGGGAGCAAACAGG